This is a long non-coding RNA of Rosa chinensis, 286 nucleotides long. RefSeq lists it as uncharacterized. The transcript is spliced from 3 exons. NCBI's taxonomy places the organism in Eukaryota, Viridiplantae, Streptophyta, Magnoliopsida, Rosales, Rosaceae. The record is from RefSeq and is a predicted model, not a curated record.
ACAAGGGAACUCAUACUAUGCUCCAAGCAGAUCUAGUUGAGCACUUGUGGCAACGUCACUUGGCUAAUAUCAAUAAUUGAGGGUGUACAGCAAUGAGAGGUGAAGGAGCUAUUGCAGUAUUGGACGCUGCCGCUGGAGGUUGGUUAGAUAGAAACAGGCUUGUGGUUGUCUCAAGGGAGGUAAAAACUUUAGACCAUAGUUGAUAGUAUGAAUAAUGCAUACAUCUUGGCGUCGAUAGUAUAUGCAAAUGCAUACAUCUUGUAGUUGACAUUAUAAGAGAACAUGU